CGAUAACGAACGAGACCUUAACCUGCUAAAUAGUUAGGCCAACGUUUGUUGGUCGUCAACUUCUUAGAGGGACUAUUGACUAUUAGUCAAUGGAAGUUUGAGGCAAUAACAGGUCUGUGAUGCCCUUAGAUGUUCUGGGCCGCACGCGCGCUACACUGAUCAAGUCAACGAGUUUACAACCUUGGCCGGAAGGUCUGGGUAAUCUUUUGAAACUUGAUCGUGCUGGGGAUAGUCCAUUGCAAUUAUUGGACUUCAACGAGGAAUUCCUAGUAAGCGUGAGUCAUCAGCUCGCGUUGAUUACGUCCCUGCCCUUUGUACACACCGCCCGUCGCUACUACCGAUUGAAUGGCU
Molecule: ribosomal RNA, 351 nt
Filed under: uncultured fungus
Lineage: Eukaryota; Fungi
Also listed under: 1 other name
Description: SSU rRNA
Rfam family: Eukaryotic small subunit ribosomal RNA
Source: RNAcentral